RNAcentral lists this long non-coding RNA (2556 nucleotides) under Homo sapiens (human). Its description in RNAcentral is "HSALNT0373014". Lineage: Eukaryota; Metazoa; Chordata; Mammalia; Primates; Hominidae. The record is from RNAcentral.
UCUGCAUGGUCACUGUCCAGUGGAUAGAGGUAGGGGAGCAGAAGUACAGGCAUGUGCAGAAGAAUGUUUUAGGUCUUGCUACUGAUAACAUUAAAAUGACUGGAAACAGAGAAGGGAGAAGCUUACUAAGUUUUUGAAGAACAUUUACUACCAAGUAAAUCACCAGCCAACCCAGACUUAAUAACAGCAAGAAAACUUUGUUGAAACCUUCAAACAACCCUCAGGCCCCCCCAACACUGGCAGGAGAUGGAAGUGGGUGAAGUGGGAGCCUAAAGCUGUCUAGCUCCCAGGAAGAGCAUUAUCUCCAACAUCCAUUUCAUACAUGGCCCUGGGGGAUACUGGACAAGAAAAGCCUCCCAGAGGCCUGAUUCAUAAAAACUUCCCAUGGGCAAUCCUCCAUGCUCUUUACCCUCCAGCCAACUGAUUGGAGACAACUACAACCACUUUGAAAACCACGUGUUGGAAGAUGGCAGAGCCUCAUCUUGGGCUGGGCCCCUGAGUGACCGAGUAGGACCAGAGUUCUUGGCCACGUCCCCAACCUGAAACUGCUUAGGACUGUUAUAAGAAAGAAAGGAACAAAUUCCUAUUAGGUUUUAGACAUAAUUUUUGAGUUCACUACCUUCAUUGGUAUACAUACAUGCAUAAAACCUGAAACAAUAUUACAAAGAAAUAUAACUGCCGAUUAACAUAAUGCAAGUUGAGCAUGUCAGAGCCAAGGGGCAGUAAAUAGUUAGAUGAGUAGAAUAUAUGUCAAAAAGGUAAAUGUUGAGGUUGACUUCGAACUGUAAAAUAACACAUGGGAAGAAUAAUGUUUGGCAUAAUUAUAAAAAGCAAUUACCUUCCCAUGUGGUAGGAAUAUAAGAGUUUAGAAACAUUCUUCUAUGCAGUGAGAAUUGGCCUGCUGAACCUGUAAAGUGUAACUCACUUUGAGAAACACCACUGGCAAGGAGUCAGCUGAGAUUGGAGUUCACAAUCCAGGGUCCUCAGACCACAUAAAGCCCACUAACCAGAGCUGCUGCUCAGACAUGAUUUUAUGCAGUGUUUAAGAAAAUAAUGUGAAUUAGUGAUAUCUCUUCUGAAACUGGGAUAUUGUUCCAAGUUCUAGCAGCUUUGAGUCUGUAUUCCCAUGUGACAGUCAUCAGCUGUGCUGAGUCACAGAAGCUGCUCACUUUAGAAUCGAUUUGGUCCUCCGGCUGCCAUGGCCCCACCACACCUGUGAUGGCCCCAUGCUGUCAGUGGCUGACGUGCCCCACUCAUCUGGCUACAUACCUGGCUCAGAUGCAUGAAGACCUGCGAUCCCCUUCUGGAGAAAGGAAAAUGGAAUCCAUUUACUACCGUCACAUGUUAUCGAGCAUUUACUGUGUGUUAUGAACUUUGAAGACAGUGUCUCAUUUAUUCUUCAUACCAGCCCUGUGAAGAAGACAUUAUUAACCCAUACUACAGAAAGGAGAAUAAGUAACUUGCCAAGUCAAGUUGAAAGAGCUGAUAAGUGUGAUGCAAACCAGGUUUGCCCAGCAUCAAGGUCCAUGCUCUUAGCGCUAUUUUAGCUGCUUCCCAAAGACAGGCAGCUCCUUCCUGACAUGUGGUGCCUGUCUGGCAUCUGUGGCUUCCCCAGAGCUAGCAUUCAGCCCAUCCCCUUAGUGUGUGCCCCAAAGAGGGAUGCGAAUCCCAUCUCCUUCAGAAAAAAGCAACAGACAGGAUUCCGCCAAAUCCUUCUAGUGUAUCAAGUUGCUUGGUUAGUGGGAUCUGGUGGAAUUCUAUGUCUUUCCAGAAACUACAAAGGGCAGAGUAGGUGCAGAUCAAGUCAGAAGAUCCCCAGGGAAUACACACACACAAAGGCAAAUGGUGCCGCCCUCUCCCUGCCCAGCACAGCUGCAGACAGAUCCACAGCAUAGAUAAGACAACGACAUUUCCCACGCUGAUAUCACGGCCACUUGACCCCGAAAAGCCAGUGCUGGAGGACUAAAUGUUUCCAUAGACAAUGCUACUAUUUAUUCAUCCAUAAAACCCUCCAUAGUUAUUAAGCACCCACAACGUGCCAAGCUUAGGGAGUCCCCUAGGUGCCAUGGGUACAAAAUGAAAACACUUUACUUCUGCUUUUGAGAUACCCCAGUCUAGUGGCCAAGAAAGAUAUAUUAAGAAUUAUUAUAAGCCUACAUGACACUCCCUCAAUAUCACUAUACACUGAAGUGUCCUGGGAACAAAGAGGGAGAAGAUUUAUUUGUCUGUGAAGUGGGUAACUGAAGGAAGAAAAGACAUAGCUUCAGAGAGGAAGUUUUGGUCUCAUUACUAACUUGUUUUGGGAAGAGUAUUAUAAUACCAUCUGCUGUUGGCUGCCCAGCAUGCAUUCUCCUUCCUUCCUUUGGGAAACCCCAUAUGGCUACAGAAAUGGCCCUGAUUGGCAUAUGUCACUCACCUGGCCACAGCCCUGUCAGAGUGAACUGGUCCAGUCAGAGUGAACUUUACGUGUGUUACUCCGAAUCUUGUCCCAGUCUCUUGUCCCAAUUUCUCUCUCUCUCUCUCUCUUUCUCUCUCUCUCUGUCUCUCCUCUCUCUC